UCCAAAAGGGGGGACCCCUGCACCUCUGCU
RNAcentral lists this non-coding RNA (30 nucleotides) under Homo sapiens (human). The record is from RNAcentral. Lineage: Eukaryota; Metazoa; Chordata; Mammalia; Primates; Hominidae.